Molecule: long non-coding RNA, 1383 nt
Organism: Lingula anatina
Lineage: Eukaryota; Metazoa; Brachiopoda; Lingulata; Lingulida; Lingulidae
Source: RefSeq, a predicted model, not a curated record
CUCCACUUUCUAUGUGCUCUGGAUUAUAUGUGCCCACGUGGCGGGAAAACCGACUAAUCACGGCCCUGCAAAACACUGGGUCAACUCAGGUGACUUCCCUUCCAGGGGGUGUCGAUUUUUGGAAAUUCCAGUGCUGCAGACGCUGACUUUUAUCCCCAGGGUACUGGUAUUUUAUUGGCUGGUGGUGCAUUGCGCAAAUAUGUUGCCCAAUCAGACGGCAAGAAAACUGGGAAAUUCCGCGUGCAGAGUGGGAAAUUCCGGGCGUGGGUUUUGGUACAUAUGCUGUAAAGUGUUUGACCCGCUGCUGAGGAGCGGCCUAGAUCAAAGUCACGGCGAACGCUUGUUGGUUAAUUACCCACACACCUUCCAUGCCUUCAACUGUGGCUGGUAAAUGGUGCGUUUGAGGAUUUGCAACGAAACAACAACGCAGACAACCCGCAAGGAGGCAGCACUUCGAGCAAAUUUUUGUGCAUUUUGAUACCAAGAUCGCCAUCACAUUGGUGAAAUCUCAAUACCCAGCGGGGCUUUGGAGACAGCUGCAGAGCAGAGUGAUGACAUGGCGGUUUACUUUAGAACAAAACAGAUAAAUCGUCAUCAUUGUGGGAAAUAUGAGAAAAUACAAGCCCUUCCAUAGCACGAAGAAACAAGAAAAUGCUGCUUGCAAGGAUUGCAUAUGUGGUACAAUGAUUAAGGCGAUUUUUCAUUAAAGGCAGCAAGACAAGCACCGCGCACCAUACGGCGUGUGGUAAUACUGCUGGAUCCCGCCUCUUGAAGAUGAGCACUAGUAGAGGAAGGACCGACAGACGAUUUCGGGCAGCUCACCAGUCUGUUUAGUGUAAUGCCUUCUGAAAUAUUUCCCUUCAAUUCUUGGUCUUUGGCGGCCGUUGCUAUGGUAUUACGAAUUCAUGUAAUUCAGAUAUUUUAAGCUCUUCCAAGAAGGUCUAUUUCUUCCCGUGCAGACACGAUGCAGAGUCGAUCGAGACACGGUUUUAUUGUCCUUGAGUCCCCAAAUAGAAUUCUCUCCAGGGUAGCACAUAACCGGCGCUGCACGCUACGGGGGGGCGAAUAAGACAAGGUUUAUUUCCACCUCAAACACACGAAAAAUCUUCACCGAGAAACAACGAGCCACGCUAGUGCAGCUAGCCAACGGACGAAGAAGCUUGUUCGCAGAUUCUGUAGCCAGGAUCCAGCGUGAUCGUCGCGCGAUGGGAAUUUCCCCUCCUCCCGAGUCAACUCCCCCGUUUUUCUCUGCUGUCCUACCUUGGACGGGGUCCAUCCAGGUCCCAUAUUUGCAUAUCGUCUGCACAGUACUGGGUACAGUGUUUACGGAAGGGGAAAAACUCGUGGCAUGAUUUCUAAUUUUAGGAAAAUCUUGUAGGUGGU